Clupea harengus (Atlantic herring) is the source of this 2906-nucleotide long non-coding RNA. RefSeq lists it as uncharacterized. Lineage: Eukaryota; Metazoa; Chordata; Actinopteri; Clupeiformes; Clupeidae. The transcript is spliced from 2 exons. The record is from RefSeq and is a predicted model, not a curated record.
CGUAUCCAUGUUUCCUCUCUCCAUGUCUUCGAACAGGAUGUGACUAAGUUCUCUAGCGACAGGCCUACAUGUGAGAAAAUCCCACCCGGGUCUGAAAGACCAAAGCCACCCACUGAACAGCAUUACUUCAGUGGCAGCAAAUGGAAGAAUCCACACCUGAAGUUCUGGCGGCACACAUUCCGUAUUCCAUAAAGGCCGUGUCCGUCACGGACCGCACAGGAGAAUCUGAAAUUUGUGAUGUUUAAAUGGAGCUCUCAUUCAUCCCAGACCGCCUUGUCCCAAGCCAGAAAAAAGACGUCCUGGAACAAGGCAGAUGAAAGGUGGGCGAGUGCCAGGAAAAGAAAAAGCUGGAUGACAGUGAGGCGUAGGCCUCACAUGACAGGGUAGCCUAAUACACAGAAAUGAAAGGGGGAGGGGGGGAUUUCAAAGAGAGAAAAAGAACAAAAACAAAAUAAAUAAAGGAGCGAGGGCCUGGGAAUCAGGAUGUUUUCGCCAAGAUGCCGUCCUCCGUUUUCCUUUCCUCUCCUCUCACAGGUGCUGAUGAGACUAUAAAGGCCAUGUGGUGAGUGAAACAGACAGAGCAGCGGAGAGAGAUAGAGAGAGAUGAAGACUUCCACACACUGACAGGACUCAUACAAAGCAUCUGUGAGAACGAAAGCUGUUAAGUCUGCUGCCUGCAGCUCUCUUCGCCUCUCUGUCUCCGUACAACUGCAGACCUAUUCACCUGCCAUCUUUCUACAUUUUCUGAAUUGGAUUUAUUUUUAGCCGAUUAUAUAACAUAUUGGGUUUAUGUUUAACAAACUUUAUAUAUAACAUAAUUUUACAUUAUUUAAAGUGGUGAGGUUUCUUGAAAACCAUCAGUUUUCGGUCAUCAUGAGUUGCUGGAGGAGUGCGUUCUUCAUCCUGGUCCUGGUCAUCUGUGUAAGCAUCACAAAGGCAGCUGUAUAUCGUCACAAAGGACCAUGUGUUCAUAAGGGCAUUCUCUUCACCCCUGGACAGACAUUUCACAAGGGCUGUGACAAGUGUUACUGCCAUGAGAAUGGAUUUGUGUGUCUUUCGUAAGUAUGCCUAAUUAAUAAGUAACUGAAAUGAAAACUGUUCCCCUUAUUUGCCAAAACUACAAAAUAAAACUACUACUGCAUCCACUAUAGGCCUACAGCCAUGGUGGAAGGUCACUACAUUUACUUCUGCUCCACUACAUUUCAGAGAGAUAAAGAGGAAUAUUGUUCUUUCUACUCCACUACAUUUAUUUGACAGCUUUAGUUACUAGCUACUUUUCUGAUGAAGGUUUUACACAAUGGACAUAACGACACAUUGUUAAAGAUUAAACCAGUGGUUUCCAACCUUUUUGGCUUCCGACAUCAUACAAAAUGCAGUGUGUAGUUGAGGUCAAAUUCCAGAUGUCUAUGCAUUGUCAACAGCUCCACAAACUAAGGAUUUUCCCUCUAAACUUCUCACAUGGUUACAUUUCAAUAAUCGUUCAAAUGAUCCAAUAUCUCAAGAUUCGAGAAAAAGUAAAAAAAACUGAAAAUUGAUUUGUGCAUCAGAACUUUUUCUUAUUUUCUCCCAUGAAUCAUUUCACAACCCCUCAGAUGUAUCUGGUAUCCCUGUAUAUAAAACGGUAUAUUAUUAUAUUAUAAUAUAUUAUAUUAUUAUAUGUAAUUCAAACUUGCUCUACCUCAAGCAGCUACAACAGUAACAUGCUGCUUACACCAUAAUGCUUCAGUAUUAAUAAUCUAAUGAUAUCAUACAUAAUCAGUCAGAGGGACCAAACCAGUACUUUAACUAUAUUUUGAUGGUAAUAAUUCAAGUAUUUCUACUCAUGUAAGAAUUUUAAUGCAGGACUUUUACAUGUAAUGGAGUAUUUGUACAUUGUUGUAUUGGUACUUUUACUUAGGAAAAGGAUCUGAAUACUUCUUCCCUGCCUGCAGCUAUUAUCAAGGGCCUGUGAGACUGAAAAACCCUACUCUUUACAUGCUCACCUGUAUUCUCACGAGAUCUUAAUGGCAUUCCCUCCAGACCUAUGAAGCCAACCUCCUGGCCCAAGAAGUGUGAGCGGAUCGUUACAGAUUGUGGGUACCGUGUUGUUUACCAUGACAACCCCGAGCUGGACUGCCGACCCUACAGCUGGAUCUGGUGAAGCCUCUCAGGCCCACGGCUUCAUUACUCGCUUCUGUUAGAAAUAAUGAGGCUGGGACAACCUAAAUGUAAACGUAGAUAUUUAUAUUAAUAACUAAGUAUUUAUAUUUGCUAUUAUUGUCCAGCUUCUUAGACUGCAUCGUUUACAGAUGCCCACAACCGUUGUCUCGCACUACAUCUACGAAUGUAUUCACCAGUCAACACAGAACUCACCACUAGAGACCCUGCCAUGUGCAGACGUGUUGCCACCAGUGGAGGUGACCUCUCAAAAACAACAAAUGGUUAUUAUUCGGCUAGUCCAUAAAUACAGUCCGAACACGGCACAAAAGAGAAAGCCGAUAGCAAACCACGAAGGCAGUGUUUGGCGAUAGUUAUGUUGAUUACUGGAUUUCAAUAAAGUAAUUUCCUGAUGGGACAAUUCACUGUCAAGUUGAUCAGAGUGUCAUUGUAUGUCAGCCACUUGUAUCUCACCAUCUCGCCCCUUUGCCUUCACCAUAUCUGACAAGGCGUCCACCUUUCAAUUCUGUCAGUCUCCAGAGACUGAUUGUCAACACCUUCCUUACCAUUUGUCAGUUGUCGAUAUUUUCUCCAUUGUCCUUUCUAAGUCAGCAGCUAUUAAAUGAGAUAUCCAAACUGCUGUUUUAAAACUAAAAUGUUGUCAUCAUGAGUAUUUUAUUAUCAAAAUGCAUUGAUACAUCUCACCUGUUCAGUACUGUUGUCUGGUUGGUAUGGGGGUAGAUACCAAAUAAUUAUUACUAUGUUUGAGU